This 449-nucleotide long non-coding RNA is filed under the name Eutrema salsugineum. RNAcentral describes it as "long non-coding RNA (ESAL_LNC002136)". The record is from RNAcentral. Lineage: Eukaryota; Viridiplantae; Streptophyta; Magnoliopsida; Brassicales; Brassicaceae.
AUUUUUUUAAAAAGACUCAAACCCCAUGGGCCGCCGCCCUCUGCCCACCCAGAAGUUCAAAUCAUCCCAAGCCAGAUCGACCAUUUGUUAGAAUCUCACUGAUCUCACGUUCGAAAUGGUAAGAAACUCCGAGUCUUUAUAAAGUGUCGACGAAUCUCACUGUUUCAGUCAGCAUUUUACUCACUUCUUGCUUCAAUAACUUAACUCUCUCGCUGUUGUCCUCAUCUGCAUGAUCUAAAAUAUAGUAAUCAUACAGUAACUUCCUGUAUUAAUAGAUUUUCAUAUCAUACGUCGUGUAGAUUUUCGUACGUACCGCGUAUGUAUUACCCAGCGAGAGGAGAUACUCGUGCUCCCACAGAGACGGUCGAUAGUUUGCAGAGCGACGGACUUCAAGAGGCUGUGGCUGUGUUUUCGAUACAGCCUUGGGAGUGAAAUGCCUAUGAAUCUGU